UUUGAACUUACUGUUCUCUUUCAGCCUCUCCACAACCCCAACCCCACUCCUCCUUCUCUUCCUUUGAGUCUCAGCUUAAAUGUCAUUUUCCCAGGGAGACCUUUGUCAACCACCUGAUAUAAGUCAGUUGACUGCCCUCCCUAUUACUUUCUAGGCUAGUUUCAUACUGCACUUUCUUCCUAGUGCUUAUCACACUGCGUGAAUUUUCUUUGUUUAUUUACUUUUGUCAGUAUUCCUUGCUAGAAAGUACUCAAGACACCCCUCCAUCUGGCAGGCUGGAAAUUGAGCAGGGAGAAUGCAGGAGACUGUUUCGGGUGGCCGAGAUGAUGGUCUGGCUGCUCUUUCUACCCUGGCAUGGGCAAAGCCCAAGUCCUACAGGUUUGCUGUGGACCUGCUUUCAACUCAUCAAAUACAAAGGAGUCCUAUUGCUGGAUCAUAGUGUAUAGUGUCUUUAUUACUGCAGUGCAAGCACUUUCCAAGUGUCAUGUUUGUUAUUUACCCACUGUCCAAAGCAAGUCACGUGGCCAAGCUCAAGAGUCAGAGUGGAGAGAACUACCCAACGCAGGGAUAUAGGGAGGGGGAUGAUGGUACCCAUUUUGAAGAGAUCUACCCAAGGCAGGGAUAUAGGGAGGGGAAUGAUGGUACCCAUUUUGAAAACAAUCUAUUGCAGUAAUCAUAGACCAUAGUAAUUGCUCAGAAUCAGGAUGAUUUAGGCUAGGAAAUAAAUAAAAAUGGCCAGCCCAUGGCUUCUGCGUCCCUCUAAGAUAAAGUUCAAAGUCCUUAGCUGUGAUACAUGACUACCUGCUAUAUGUUAUCUCACUAUAAUGCCUUCUCCCCACCUCAAAACUAUAGAGAAUGGGCACACAGAGCUUUUUUAAUGGGGAAUGCACCUUGCUAUUUCACACCCUGUAUCAUUGCUCCACACCCUGUAUCAUUGCUCCUGCUGGUUCAACUGGCAUAUAAUCCCCCACCCUGAGUCCCACAGACUAACCCACCAUUGAUCUUUGAACAUCUUUAGAGACACAACAGGAUUUACCUCCUCAAAGAAGCCUACCCUCUGCUUUGGAUAGAAUUGAACAUUCAUUUCUUUGGAAGUCAUAGAGCCACAUGCAGUUUUUUUGUUUUUGUUUUUUGAGACAGGGUCUUGCUCUGUCACCCAGGCUGGAGUGCAGUGGCGUGAUCACAGCUCACUGCAGUCUCGACCUCCUAGGCUCAAGGGAUCCUCCCUCCACAGCCUCCCGAGUAGCUGGGACCACAGGCACGCACCACCAUGCCUGGCUAAAUUUUUAUUUUUAACAUCUUUCUAUGUUGCCCAGGCUGGUCUCGAACUCCUGGGCUCAAGCAAUCCUCCCGCCUCGACCUCCCAAGGUUCUAGGAUUACAGGUGUGAGCCACGGUGCUGGCCCAGAUUUUUAAUUUUACACCUAAAUAACUUUAGUGCUCAUUUGUUAAUGUGCCCGUCUCCCUUUUGGUAGACUCUAAGAUCCUCAAAGGUAGGGACUAUAUCUUUCUUAUAUUCAUAUUUUCCUUCCUUCCUUCCUUCUUUCGUAGAUGGAAUCUUGCUCUGUCAUCCAGGCUAGAGUGCAGUAGCGUGAUCUCGGGUCACUGCAACCUCCGCCUCCCGGGUUCAAGCAAUUCUCCUGCCUCGGCCUCCUGAGUAGCUGGGAUUAUAGGCGCCCACCACCAUUCCUGGUUAAUUUUUGUAGAGACGGGGUUUCACCAUGUUGGUCAGGCUGGUCUCGAACUCCGGACCUCAGGUGAUCCGCCCACCUCGACCUCCCAAAGUGCUGGGAUUACAGGCGUGAGCCACUACGCCCGGCCAGUAUUUUCAUGCAUGGAUAGUUGUUCAAAUUGAUGCUUUGGCAGAGGUGGUGGUGGGGCAGUCAUUGGAGAGUCCUAUUCCACCAUCCUGCUCCGACUUCCCCCAUUUUAUUUGCUUUGUGAAACAACAAGCUGGAAAUACUGAAAACUUCAUAGCAAACUUUGUGAGAAAGAAACCUACUACUACUUAACACUGAAAACAGAAAUAUAUAGCUUUGGGCCAGGCACAGUGGCUCACGCCUGUAAUCCUAGCAGUUUGGGAGGCUGAGGUGGAUGGAUCACCUGAGGUCAGGAGUUCAAAACCAGCCUUGGCCAAUAUGGUGAAACCCUGUCUCUACUAAAAAUACAACAAUUAGCUGGGCCGUAGUGGUAAGUGCCUGUAAUCCCAGCUACUCGGGAGGCUGAGUCAGGAGAAUCGCUUGAGCCUGGGAGGCGGAGGUUGCAGUGAGCCGAGAUCGCACCACUGCACUCUAGCCUGGGCAACAGAGUGAGACUCUGUCUCAGAAAAAAAAAAAAAAAAAUUUUGCAGCCCUAACAGAAACAAAACUCAGCUUGACAUAUUAAAUGUAGAAAUCAUUACCUAGGUAGAAAAUUUUAAACUUUGUCAAGUUUCUUUAGAAUGGACACCCAUUAAGAGUUAUAACAACAUUUAAAUUCAGAAAAUCAAUCAUCUCAAAAAAUUUUAACAGCUCAAAUAUUUUUCAUAAUUAUGUUUGUGAAAGAAAUGAAAACGAAAAGCCCAGGAAGCAGGGUGAUACUAUUGCUAGUUAUAAUUUCUAUUUUUAACACCCUAAAUUUCUUAGUUCUCAUUUCUUCUUGCAUUUCAGCUUGUGGUUGGCUUUGCAAAGCUAACAUUUUCUUUGGUGACAGUUUUUAAAACGUAAGCCAGAAGACUUUGGUCAGGAGCUUCCCCAUUCCAUAGAACAUCUGAGAACUUAAAAAAAAUGGUAUUUAAAUUGCACUAAGAAGAUAAAGUAGUGUGAUAUUUUGAUAGGUGCUUAUUUUUGUUUUGUUUGCUUUUAACUUCUGGACCUAUCCCAAUGUUUUCCAGGAUCCUCAGAACAUAUGGGUGGUCUUUUCUUUUAAAAAUAUAUAUAAACCCGGCCGAGUGUGGUGGCCCAUGCCUGUAAUCAGGCUGAGGUGGGAGGAUCACUUGAGCCCAGGAAUUUGAGACCAUUCUGGGCAGCAUAGUGGGACCCUGUCUCUACAAAAAAUAAAAAAUUAGCCCAACAUGGUGGCACAUGCCUGUGGUCCCAGCUACUUGGGAGGCUGAGGCAGGAGGAUCACUUGAGCCUGGGAGUUUGAGGCUGCACUGAGCUAUGAUCAUGCUACUGCACUCCAGCCUGAGUGACGGAGCAAGAUACUGUCUCCAAGAAAAAAAAAGUAGGGGGAGGGCGGUUUUUUUUUUAUUACAGUCUCUUUCAGCAAGAAAAUAAAAGCUUUCCCAGAAGCAUCCUAGGAGAAUUCUUCCCUUCAUUUUGUUGGCCAGUGUUGGGUAAUGUGGCCAUUAUUAGAUGCAGGGGGUCUGGGAAAGUGGAUAAGAGGAGCAUAAUAGCUAAUGUCAGAUUGUUCCCUAAAUAAAAUGGGAGUUGUAUCAAUAAACAGAAGGUUUGUGGAGGAGGUGGGGAUGAGAUGGCAGUUAGGCAGGCAAAGUACAUCACCUGCCAUGAUGCAAUAUUUGUGUAGCUAAAAACUUGUAAUGCGGUUAGAUAGAAUGAAUAUGUUCUAGUGUUCCAUAGCACAGCAGGGUGACUGUAGUUAAUGAUAUAGUGUGGAUACUUGUUCCCACACAAAUCUCAUGUGGAAUUGUAAUCCCCAAUGCUGGAAGUGGGGCCAGUGGGAGGUGAUUGGAUCAUGGGGGCAGAUCCCUCAUGAAUGGCUUAGGCCAUCCCCUUCAUGAUACGUGAGCUCUUGCUCUGAGUUCACAUGAGAUGCUUUGUUUAAAAGCAUGUGGCUGGCCGGGUGUGGUGGCUCACGCCUGUAAUCCCAGCACUUUGGGAGGCUGAGGUGGGUGGAUUGCCUGAGCUCAGGAGUUCGAGACUAGCCUGGGUAACAUGGUGAAACCCCAUCUCUACUAAAAUACAAAAAAUUAGCCGGGUAUAGUGGCAUGUGCCUGUAGUCUCAGCCGCUUGGGAGGCUGAGGCAGGAGAAUUGUUUGAACCCGGGAGACGGAGGUUGCAGUGAGCCCAAAUCGCACCACUGCACUCCAGCCUCGGUGACAGGGGGAGACUCCUUUUCCAAAGAAAGAAAAAAGCAUGUGGCAACUCUCUCCCAACUCUCUCUUGCUUGCUCCUGCUUUUGCCAUGUGACAUGCUUGUUCCCCCUUCACCGUCUGCCAUGAUUGAAAGCUCCCUGAGGUUUCACUGGAAGCCAAGCAGAUGUCAGCACCAUGCUUCCUGCAGAACCAUGAGCCAAUUAAACCUCUUUUCCUAGUCUCAGGUAUUUCUUUAUAGCAAUGCAAGGACAGCCUAAUACAGUUAACAGUAAUUUAUUUUAUACUUCAAAAUAGCUAGAAGAGAUUUGAAGUGUUCCCAAUACAAAGAAAUGACAAAUAUUUGAGGUGAUAGAUACCCUGAUUUGAUCAUUACACGUUGUAUGUAUGUAUCAAAUACCUAAAUACCCUGAUUUGAUCAUUACAUGUUGUAUGCAUGUAUCAAAUACCUAAAUACCCUGAUAUGAUCAUUACACAUUGUAUGCAUGUAUCAGAAUAUCACAUGGACCCAUCCCAUAAAUAAGUGCAAUUAUUGUGUAUCAAUAAAAAUGUUUUGGUUGGGU
RNAcentral lists this long non-coding RNA (4595 nucleotides) under Homo sapiens (human). RNAcentral describes it as "HSALNT0280568". The stretch from base 3778 to 3894 matches the Rfam family "Metazoan signal recognition particle RNA". Lineage: Eukaryota; Metazoa; Chordata; Mammalia; Primates; Hominidae. The record is from RNAcentral.